RNAcentral lists this ribosomal RNA (1244 nucleotides) under metagenome. RNAcentral's name for it is "bacterial SSU rRNA". It matches the Rfam family "Bacterial small subunit ribosomal RNA", at positions 8 to 1243 of the family's 1533-position model. The record is from RNAcentral.
AGAGUUUGAUCCUGGCUCAGGAUGAACGCUAGCUACAGGCUUAACACAUGCAAGUCGAGGGGAAACGAUAUUGGAAGCUUGCUUCCGAUAGGCGUCGACCGGCGCACGGGUGAGUAACGCGUAUCCAACCUGCCCAUCACUUGGGAAUAACCUUGCGAAAGUAAGACUAAUGCCCAAUGACAUUUAUAGAAGGCAUCGGAAAUGAAUUAAAGAUUUAUCGGUGAUGGAUGGGGAUGCGUCUGAUUAGCUUGUUGGCGGGGUAACGGCCCACCAAGGCGACGAUCAGUAGGGGUUCUGAGAGGAAGGUCCCCCACAUUGGAACUGAGACACGGUCCAAACUCCUACGGGAGGCAGCAGUGAGGAAUAUUGGUCAAUGGGCGAGAGCCUGAACCAGCCAAGUAGCGUGCAGGAUGACGGCCCUAUGGGUUGUAAACUGCUUUUAUAGGGGAAUAAAGUGAGCCACGUGUGGUUUUUUGCAUGUACCCUAUGAAUAAGGACCGGCUAAUUCCGUGCCAGCAGCCGCGGUAAUACGGAAGGUCCGGGCGUUAUCCGGAUUUAUUGGGUUUAAAGGGAGCGUAGGCCGGAGAUUAAGCGUGUUGUGAAAUGUAGAUGCUCAACAUCUGCACUGCAGCGCGAACUGGUUUCCUUGAGUACGCAUAAAGUGGGCGGAAUUCGUGGUGUAGCGGUGAAAUGCUUAGAUAUCACGAAGAACUCCGAUUGCGAAGGCAGCUCACUGGGGCGCAACUGACGCUGAAGCUCGAAAGCGCGGGUAUCGAACAGGAUUAGAUACCCUGGUAGUCCGCGCGGUAAACGAUGGAUGCCCGCUGUUGGGCCAACUGGCUCAGCGGCCAAGCGAAAGCAUUAAGCAUCCCACCUGGGGAGUACGCCGGCAACGGCGAAACUCAAAGGAAUUGACGGGGGCCCGCACAAGCGGAGGAACAUGUGGUUUAAUUCGAUGAUACGCGAGGAACCUUACCCGGGCUUGAAUUGCAGAGGAAGGAUUUGGAGACAAUGACGCCCUUCGGGGCCUCUGUGAAGGUGCUGCAUGGUUGUCGUCAGCUCGUGCCGUGAGGUGUCGGCUUAAGUGCCAUAACGAGCGCAACCCCUCUCCGUAGUUGCCAUCGGGUGAUGCCGGGCACUCUGCGGACACUGCCACCGUAAGGUGUGAGGAAGGUGGGGAUGACGUCAAAUCAGCACGGCCCUUACGUCCGGGGCUACACACGUGUUACAAUGGGGCAUACAGA